UACGGAGGGUGCAAGCGUUGUUCGGAAUUAUUGGGCGUAAAGCGCGUGUAGGCGGCUAUUUAAGUCUGGUGUGAAAGCCCGAGGCUCACCUUCGGAAGUGCACUGGAUACUGGAUAGCUUGAGUACUGGAGAGGAGGUGGAAUUACCUGGUGUAGCGGUGAAAUGCGUAGAUAUCAGGAAGAACACCGGUGGCGAAGGCGGCCCUCUGGACAGCUACUGACGCUGAGACGCG
This 232-nucleotide ribosomal RNA is filed under the name uncultured bacterium. RNAcentral describes it as "partial 16S ribosomal RNA". It matches the Rfam family "Bacterial small subunit ribosomal RNA", at positions 524 to 755 of the family's 1533-position model. The record is from RNAcentral.